GACGAACGCUGGCGGCGUGCCUAAUACAUGCCAGUAGAACGCACAGUUUAUACCGUAGCUUGCUACACCAUAGACUGUGAGUUGCGAACGGGUGAGUAACGCGUAGGUAACCUGCCUGGUAGCGGGGGAUAACUAUUGGAAACGAUAGCUAAUACCGCAUAAUAUUGAUUAUUGCAUGAUAAUUGAUUGAAAGAUGCUAUUGCAUCACUACCAGAUGGACCUGCGUUGUAUUAGCUAGUAGGUGAGGUAACGGCUCACCUAGGCGACGAUACAUAGCCGACCUGAGAGGGUGAUCGGCCACACUGGGACUGAGACACGGCCCAGACUCCUACGGGAGGCAGCAGUAGGGAAUCUUCGGGAAUGGACGAAAGUCUGACCGAGCAACGCCGCGUGAGUGAAGAAGGUUUUCGGAUCGUAAAGCUCUGUUGUAAGAGAAGAACGGGUGUGAGAGUGGAAAGUUCACACUGUGACGGUAUCUUACCAGAAAGGGACGGCUAACUACGUG
This 505-nucleotide ribosomal RNA is filed under the name uncultured bacterium. RNAcentral's name for it is "partial 16S ribosomal RNA". It matches the Rfam family "Bacterial small subunit ribosomal RNA", at positions 28 to 507 of the family's 1533-position model. The record is from RNAcentral.